UGGGAGUAGCAAGAAGGUAAUGUGGAGA
RNAcentral lists this non-coding RNA (28 nucleotides) under Homo sapiens (human). Lineage: Eukaryota; Metazoa; Chordata; Mammalia; Primates; Hominidae. The record is from RNAcentral.